Molecule: non-coding RNA, 21 nt
Filed under: Arabidopsis thaliana (thale cress)
Lineage: Eukaryota; Viridiplantae; Streptophyta; Magnoliopsida; Brassicales; Brassicaceae
Source: RNAcentral
UAAUAUCGUGUGGGCCGAUGG